GGUAGCUUGCUACUGAUCUUAGCGGCGGACGGGUGAGUAAUGCUUAGGAAUCUGCCUAUUAGUGGGGGACAACAUUUCGAAAGGAAUGCUAAUACCGCAUACGUCCUACGGGAGAAAGCAGGGGAUCUUCGGACCUUGCGCUAAUAGAUGAGCCUAAGUCGGAUUAGCUAGUUGGUGGGGUAAAGGCCUACCAAGGCGACGAUCUGUAGCGGGUCUGAGAGGAUGAUCCGCCACACUGGGACUGAGACACGGCCCAGACUCCUACGGGAGGCAGCAGUGGGGAAUAUUGGACAAUGGGCGCAAGCCUGAUCCAGCCAUGCCGCGUGUGUGAAGAAGGCCUUAUGGUUGUAAAGCACUUUAAGCGAGGAGGAGGCUACUUUAGAUAAUACCUAGAGAUAGUGGACGUUACUCGCAGAAUAAGCACCGGCUAACUCUGUGCCAGCAGCCGCGGUAAUACAGAGGGUGCAAGCGUUAAUCGGAUUUACUGGGCGUAAAGCGCGCGUAGGCGGCUAAUUAAGUCAAAUGUGAAAUCCCCGAGCUUAACUUGGGAAUUGCAUUCGAUACUGGUUAGCUAGAGUGUGGGAGAGGAUGGUAGAAUUCCAGGUGUAGCGGUGAAAUGCGUAGAGAUCUGGAGGAAUACCGAUGGCGAAGGCAGCCAUCUGGCCUAACACUGACGCUGAGGUGCGAAAGCAU
Molecule: ribosomal RNA, 693 nt
Filed under: Acinetobacter sp. NMC-1-4
Lineage: Bacteria; Pseudomonadati; Pseudomonadota; Gammaproteobacteria; Moraxellales; Moraxellaceae
Description: bacterial SSU rRNA
Rfam family: Bacterial small subunit ribosomal RNA
Source: RNAcentral